This 25-nucleotide non-coding RNA is filed under the name Rattus norvegicus (Norway rat). Lineage: Eukaryota; Metazoa; Chordata; Mammalia; Rodentia; Muridae. The record is from RNAcentral.
UCUUUUGAGGUGCAUCAAGCCAAGU